This 198-nucleotide ribosomal RNA is filed under the name uncultured bacterium. RNAcentral's name for it is "partial 16S ribosomal RNA". It matches the Rfam family "Bacterial small subunit ribosomal RNA", at positions 328 to 539 of the family's 1533-position model. The record is from RNAcentral.
ACGCUCGACACCUACUGGAGGCAGCAGUGGGGAAUAUUGCACAAUGGGGGAAACCCUGAUGCAGCGACGCCGCGUGAGCGAAGAAGUAUUUCGGUAUGUAAAGCUCUAUCAGCAGGGAAGAAAGUGACGGUACCUGACUAAGAAGCACCGGCUAAAUACGUGCCAGCAGCCGCGGUAAUCUGAGCGGGCUGGCAAGGC